AACCUGCCCAUGACUCUGGGAUAAGCACUGGAAACGGUGUCUAAUACCGGAUACGAGCUUCAGCCGCAUGGCUAGGAGUUGGAAAGAAUUUCGGUCAAGGAUGGACUCGCGGCCUAUCAGCUAGUUGGUGAGGUAAUGGCCCACCAAGGCGACGACGGGUAGCCGGCCUGAGAGGGUGACCGGCCACACUGGGACUGAGACACGGCCCAGACUCCUACGGGAGGCAGCAGUGGGGAAUAUUGCACAAUGGGCGCAAGCCUGAUGCAGCAACGCCGCGUGAGG
RNAcentral lists this ribosomal RNA (282 nucleotides) under uncultured bacterium. RNAcentral describes it as "partial 16S ribosomal RNA". It matches the Rfam family "Bacterial small subunit ribosomal RNA", at positions 123 to 406 of the family's 1533-position model. The record is from RNAcentral.